RNAcentral lists this ribosomal RNA (422 nucleotides) under uncultured archaeon. Its description in RNAcentral is "partial 16S ribosomal RNA". It matches the Rfam family "Archaeal small subunit ribosomal RNA", at positions 323 to 746 of the family's 1478-position model. The record is from RNAcentral.
CUACGGGUGGCAGCAGGCGCGAAACCUUUACAAUACACGAAAGUGUGAUAAGGGGAUCCCAAGUGCUUAUGCAUUGCAUAGGCUUUUCUCAAGAGUAAAUAUCUUGGGGAAUAAGUGGUGGGUAAGACUGGUGCCAGCCGCCGCGGUAACACCAGCGCCACGAGUGGCAAUCGCUAUUAUUGGGCCUAAAGCGUCCGUAGCCGGUUUGUUGAAUCUCUUGUGAAAUCGUUGAGCCCAACUCAACGGCAUGCAGGAGACACUAACAAACUAGGAACCAGGAGGAGUCAGAGGUAUUUUUGGGGGAGCGGUAAAAUGCUAUAAGCCCAGAAGGACCACCUGUGGCGAAGGCGUCUGACUAGAAUGGAUUCGACGGUGAGGGACGAAAGCCAGGGGAGCAAACCGGAUUAGAUACCCCUGUAGUC